UGAAUUGCUGCGUCACGUGCGACUAAGAAAUAAGGAGGUUAUACCAAUUGAAUUAAAAUUGUAAAACAAUAGCUUUAAAUGUUGUUUCUCUCUUUCAGAGCAACACGCUUCUAUUGUUUUUCUUUUCAUCAUCAGGUAGUCAUUACCACCUAAAUUAAAUAAGAACAUUAUA
Molecule: long non-coding RNA, 172 nt
Organism: Colias croceus (clouded yellow)
Lineage: Eukaryota; Metazoa; Arthropoda; Insecta; Lepidoptera; Pieridae
Exons: 2
Source: RefSeq, a predicted model, not a curated record